UACGGAAGGCAGCAGUGGGGAAUAUUGCACAAUGGGCGAAAGCCUGAUGCAGCUAUGCCGCGUGUAUGAAGAAGGCCUUAGGGUUGUAAAGUACUUUCAUCGGGGAGGAAAAACAAAACUAAUAAUUUUAUUUCUUGACGUUACCCGAAAAAGAAGCACCGGCUAACUCCGUGCCAGCAGCCGUGGUAAUACGGAGGGUGCUAGCGUUAAUCAGAAUUACUGGGCGUAAAGAGCACGUAGGUGGUUUUUUUAAGUCAGAUGUGAAAUCCCUGGGCUUAACCUAGGAACUGCAUUUUGAAACUGAAAUACUAGAGUAUCGUAGAGGGAGGUAGAAUUCUAGGUGUAGCGGUGAAAUGCGUAGAUAUCUGGAGGAAUACCUGUGGCGAAAGCGGCCUCCUAAACGAAUACUGACACUGAGGUGCGAAAGCGUGGGGAGCAAACAGGGAUUAGAU
This 452-nucleotide ribosomal RNA is filed under the name uncultured bacterium. RNAcentral describes it as "bacterial SSU rRNA". It matches the Rfam family "Bacterial small subunit ribosomal RNA", at positions 340 to 783 of the family's 1533-position model. The record is from RNAcentral.